This 558-nucleotide ribosomal RNA is filed under the name Plasmodiophora brassicae. RNAcentral describes it as "partial 16S ribosomal RNA". It matches the Rfam family "Bacterial large subunit ribosomal RNA", at positions 573 to 1079 of the family's 2925-position model. Lineage: Eukaryota; Endomyxa; Phytomyxea; Plasmodiophorida; Plasmodiophoridae. The record is from RNAcentral.
AAUAAGGGGGUGGNANCCCUUUCAAAGGGGGGCCCCGGCCGCGAAGAUUUCGAGCGGCCGCCCGGGCAGGUACCUUUUGUAUAAUGGGUCAGCAAGUUAAUAAGGAUAGUUUGCUUAACUUUGGUGAUAAAAGGGAGGCGUAGCGAAAGCGAGUUUUAAAAAAGCGAAAAUUGGAUCUUUCUUAUUAAACCCGAAGCCAAGUGAUCUAACCAUGAUCAAGUUGAUAUUACUGUGAUAGGUAAUUGAGGACUGAACCCGUAUAUGUGGCAAAAUAUUGGGAUGAAUUGUGGUUUGGAGUGAAAGGCUAAUCAAACUUGGCAAUAGCUGGUUUUCUGCGAAAUCUAUUUAGGUAGAGUGUUAUAUAGUUUAUUUUACGGGUAGAGCUCUAGUUAUUUGAUGGGAGUGUAGCAGCUUUACUGAGAAUAAUUAAACUUCGAAUAGUAAAUUUUAAGUUAUAAUAAACAGACUUUUGGCGAUAAGGUCGAAGGUCAAGAGGGAAACAGCCCAGAUUACAUGAUAAGGUCUUAAAAUAAUUUUUUGAGUGAAAAAGGAAAAUUU